This 497-nucleotide ribosomal RNA is filed under the name uncultured bacterium. RNAcentral's name for it is "partial 16S ribosomal RNA". It matches the Rfam family "Bacterial small subunit ribosomal RNA", at positions 28 to 507 of the family's 1533-position model. The record is from RNAcentral.
GAUGAACGCUGGCGGCGUGCCUAAUACAUGCAAGUCGAGCGAACGGACGAGAAGCUUGCCUCUCUGAUGUUAGCGGCGGACGGGUGAGUAACACGUGUAUAACCUACCUAUAAGACUGGGAUAACUUCGGGAAACCGGAGCUAAUACCGGAUGAUAUUUUGAACCGCAUGGUUCAAAAGUGAAAGACGGUCUUGCUGUCACUUAUAGAUGGAUCCGCGCUGCAUUAGCUAGUUGGUAAGGUAACGGCUUACCAAGGCAACGAUGCAUAGCCGACCUGAGAGGGUGAUCGGCCACACUGGAACUGAGACACGGUCCAGACUCCUACGGGAGGCAGUAGUAGGGAAUCUUCCGCAAUGGGCGAAAGCCUGACGGAGCAACGCCGCGUGAGAGAUGAAGGUCUUCGGAUCGUAAAACUCUGUUAUUAGGGAAGAACAUAUGUGUAAGUAACUGUGCACAUCUUGACGGUACCUAAUAAGAAAGCCACGGCUAACUACGUG